GGGGGUGUAGCUCAGUUUGGUUAGAGCGUCGGCCUGUCACGCCGAAGGUCGCGGGUUCGAGCCCCGUCACUCCCGCCA
This 78-nucleotide transfer RNA is filed under the name Alphaproteobacteria bacterium. RNAcentral's name for it is "tRNA-Asp". It matches the Rfam family "tRNA". From Rfam's summary of the family: Transfer RNA (tRNA) molecules are approximately 80 nucleotides in length. Their secondary structure includes four short double-helical elements and three loops (D, anti-codon, and T loops). Lineage: Bacteria; Pseudomonadati; Pseudomonadota; Alphaproteobacteria. The record is from RNAcentral.